RNAcentral lists this long non-coding RNA (826 nucleotides) under Nicotiana benthamiana. Its description in RNAcentral is "long non-coding RNA (NBEN_LNC033128)". Lineage: Eukaryota; Viridiplantae; Streptophyta; Magnoliopsida; Solanales; Solanaceae. The record is from RNAcentral.
AACUGUGUUUCAUUUAAGGAAAAGCUUAGCCACAACUUAAACAAGAGCUAGGCAAACGCUUCGGUCGAUUUUACCCCAUCUUAUAUAGGGAGAAAAGGGUGAGUGAAAAGACAAAUGAUCUGUAUGCUCUAGGGAGUUAACAAGUCCUGAUAAGCAUAUUCAUGCUUCAGGGAAGUGAGAACAAAGUGCUUAUGCUGUCAAAAUUAUUCCAGAAGUUCGCAAGCUGCCCAAGGUUUGAUGAGUUGGGUAGAAGAAUGUGAGGUCUAAGUAAUUAUCACCGUGCAGCGAGUUCUUAUUGGGGAAUCUUUUAUUUGUCUGAACUCACAUUCCACUUCACAGCUACCUACCAUUACUUCUCAUGGAAUAUCUUUACAAAAAGUCAUACUCCCUCCGUUUCAAUUUAUGUUUCAAUUUAUGUGAGAACAUGUUUGACUCUGCACGGAGUUCAAGAAAAAAUAAAGACUUGAAAUUUGUGGUCCUAAACAAGUCAAAAAGGAGCCCAGAGUAUUUGUGGGAUUAUAAAAGUUUCUCAUUAAGGGUAGAAUUGUAAGUUUAAGCUAAAUUGUUUCCAAUGCAUAAACAGUUCAUUCUUUUUGAAACGGACCAAAAAGAAAAUAGAUUCACAUAAACUGGACCGGAGGGAGUAUUAAAUAGAAAAUAUCUCCCCAGACAUCAAAAAGCCACAAAUAAAAGAGAAAUAUCAACCUACACAACAAGAAAACAGAAUAGGAACAAGUCAACACCUUAACAAAUAGACUCAUAGGGUAGAAAUGAAUGUUCAGCAACCACAACCGACACCCACCCACCCCAACCCACAAAAAUAAAC